UGUUGACCUCGGAUCAGGUAGGAAUACCCGCUGAAC
Molecule: ribosomal RNA, 36 nt
Filed under: Fusarium verticillioides
Lineage: Eukaryota; Fungi; Ascomycota; Sordariomycetes; Hypocreales; Nectriaceae
Description: partial 28S ribosomal RNA
Source: RNAcentral